AUAAAAAGAGGGAAUGAGGUUCUCCCUGGUCAAGUAGAUGGUGAUUUUAGGCCAUCCCAUACCGAACCGCUGAAAAGCUGAUGACUUCUGCAAGUAA
Non-coding RNA from Aerococcus viridans, 97 nucleotides. The record is from Rfam. Lineage: Bacteria; Bacillati; Bacillota; Bacilli; Lactobacillales; Aerococcaceae.